AAAGCGGGACUUUCCUGCAACAUCCCAUGCAACAUCUCAUGUAGGACAGUUCAGAAGUUAUUACUUGUAUGAAUAUGGGUGAUGGAAAACAGCUGCAUUAUUGAAAAGACCUGCUAGAUCUUGGAUUCUUGCUCUGGCUUCUGAGAGGAAAUCAGAUGAGGCUUUGAGUGCAAUAGAGAGGAGAGAGUGUAUUACAGAGUCAUAGGAAAUGAGCACUGUCAAUGGCCAAGGGAAGAGCUGAAGAGGAAAAUACUCUCCUUGCCUGGCAAAGCUGAGCAACGACAAAGGGAACAUUGUACAUUCUGCCUGCUAAGCCAGAACCUGGAAGCACCCUAGAUGCUGAUGACUGGAUAAAGAAAAUGUUACCACAUUUUGGAUAUACGAUGGAGAACCCCUCAGCAGGAAAAAAAGGUGGAAUCCUGAAAUUCAAAGGCAAAUGGGUGGAACUAGAAGAAACCAUCC
This is a non-coding RNA of Cricetulus griseus (Chinese hamster), 462 nucleotides long. The record is from RefSeq and is a predicted model, not a curated record. Lineage: Eukaryota; Metazoa; Chordata; Mammalia; Rodentia; Cricetidae.